Malurus melanocephalus (red-backed fairy wren) is the source of this 4838-nucleotide RNA transcript. It is a transcript of the gene named dynein axonemal assembly factor 9, with no coding region annotated. The record is from RefSeq and is a predicted model, not a curated record. The transcript has 38 exons. NCBI's taxonomy places the organism in Eukaryota, Metazoa, Chordata, Aves, Passeriformes, Maluridae.
CUCCCCGUUCCUCCGGCGCAUCGCGGUCGCCAUGGCGCUGUGCGGCCGCUCCGCGCUCCUCCCGCCGCCCCCCCGGCACCGGCCCCGGCCCCGAGCCCCGGGACCCUUCGUCAGUUGCAGCCGCCUCCGAAAUAUCCAGAGCAUCCUGACACAGAGCAGCAAAUCUCAGCCUGAUGGAAUCCUCUGCAUUUUAGGGAUAGACAGUCGAUACAAUGAAGGGUGCAGGGAGCUGGCAAAUUAUCUGCUCUUUGGUUUGUACAACCAGAACAACAACGACUUCGAAAGGACAGGCUUUCCUGAGGAAGUUCUGGAUGAUAUAAUCAUAUUAAUAAAACCUGACAGUGUGCAUCUGUACUGCAACCCUGUGAAUUAUAAUCAUCUUUUGCCCUAUGUGGCACACUGGAGGAACUUGCAUUUCCACUGUCUGACUGAAAAUGAGUAUGAAGAUGAAGAAGCUGCAGAGGAAUUCAAGAUUUCCAGCUUUGUGGACAUGGUCCGGGAUUGCAGCCGCAUCGGAAUCCCCUACAGCUGCCAAGGUCACCUGCAGAUAUUUGACAUGUUCAUCGUGGAGAAGUGGCCGAUUGUCCAGGCCUUUGCACUGGAGGGCAUCGGGGGCGACGGCUUCUUCACCAUGAAAUAUGAAUUGAUGGAUGUCAGUGUUGACUUGUGGAAGACCUACAGCAAAAUGGAUCCUGUGUCCUUGGAGGAUUUGCUCUUUGAGGAUUUAAUGAUUUUUGARCACCAGUGGACCAACUUUUUUGCUAAUUUUGACACUGAAAUUCCCUUCAUUCUGGAGCUCUCAGAAUCUCAGGCGGGGGAGCCCUUCAGAAGUUAUUUCAGCCAUGGCAUGAUCUCAAGCCAUAUAACAGAUAACAGCCCRAGCCGGCAGCCCUUCGUCCUGUUUGGCAGCCACUCCACAAAAGAGAACUUGAAUUCUGGUAACUUUAAUUUUCCAUCUGAAGGACAUCUGGUUCGAAACACUGGCCCUGGUGGAAGCACUGCCAAGCAUAUGGUAGUGCAGUGUGUGUCUCCAAAGGGACCUCUGGCUUGUUCAAGGACCUAUUUUUUUGGAGCCACUCACGUUCCUUUCCUGGGAAAUGACAAUGAGAUGCACAAGCAAGCUGACCAAGUUACGCUGUUGUCGCAAAUAUAUUCUGCUGUUGUAGAGGCUGUGCUUGCUGGCAUUGAGUGCUAUGCUAAAACUUCCACUGAAUCCAAGGCAAAGGAGGUGGCAGAGCAGGUGCUGCUGUCUGCAUUAGACACCCUUGGCUUAGCACAGCUGAAAUCUGCUUUACGCUCCAAAAUCGCUUUUCAAAUUCAGGCUGUGAACAACCACGGCAGAAUUACACCGUUAGAUAACGAGGAUAGCCUGAGUUUGAUCAAAACGGCAUCUCUGAUGGUGUUUGACAUUCCAGACCUGCUCACGGGAAGAGGAUGCUUGGGCUCUGUUGUGUUUUCUGAGUCCUUUCUGACAUCCCAGAUACAAGUCAAAGAAAAAGAUGGCAGCAUCAAUCCAGACUCCAGGCACGUUAUCCUGACUGCAGCCAUCCCGAGAUUUGCYUCCUGGCUGGUUGAAGACAGCGAUGUGAAACUCUCUGAGAAGGCUCAGCAAGUAUUGAAGGAAGACAAAUCUUUCCUGGGCACUUUACUCACCGGGGGUGAUGGAGUAUUCAUUUGUUCCAGCAAUCCACAGACCAUGCCUGCAGAAGGCAAACUCUAUUUCUUUUCCAAUGGCAUUCUCUUCUCUGAUCCCCACCAYGGCAGCAUUUCCAUUUCCAAGAACCACAUGAGUUCCAUUUCUCUCUAUGAUGGGGAUUCCAACAGCGUUGUUGCUGCUCUCUUCAUAGACUUCAACAGUUCCCUGCUUCCUCAUCUGCCCAUCGAAUUCCAUUCCCAGAACAACUUCCUGAUGAUUGCACUUUUCCCYAAAAGAAAGAUCUAUAAAGCUUUUUAUUCACAGGUUUUCUCUUCGUGGCAAAACCAGACAAACUCAGGAUUAUCUUUAAGGGUUGUCCAGGAGGAAUUCCUGUCUGUGGAGCAAAAGAGGAUGCAUUCCACUGUUCAGAAGCUCUUCAAUGCCUUGUCUUUUCCUUCUGGGGAAAGAUGCAGGGAGCUGAAACUAUCUGCUGCCAUUCCAGAAUUGGAGAAGUUUGUGCAGCACUUCACAGUCAGCAGYGUCAGCACCAAGCCAGUGAUGAGAGCACAUCUUCCCAUCCUUCUGCAACAGUCAGAAACCAUUCCUGAUAGCAAAGCAGAAGGUGAUAAGGUGAUCAUCACCAUCCUCACGGGGCUCCCAGGAUGUCGUUCCAGUGACCUGUGUGCUUUCCUUGUCACUUUUACCAAGGAGUAUGGGAGGUGGAUGGUUUAUAGGCAGACCAUGGAUAGUCCYGAGUGUUUCAGUGCCUCCCAUUUCCAGCGUUACCUGUCCGGGCUCCUGGAGGCGCAGCAGAACCUCGGUGUCCGUCAGGCUGGGAAGAGCAGGAGGCUGYUGGUGGUCCUGCAAGGCUACACUGAUGUUAUUGAUGUUGUGCAAGCUCUGCAGACUCACCCUGACCCAGAUGUGAAAUCUUCGUUUGUCAUCGGAGCAGUCAAUACCUGCGUGGAGCCUCUGAGCUGCUACAUGGAGCACAGGCUUCUUUUUCCCAAGUUCUUGGACCAGUGUUCCCAAGGACUGGUGAGUAACGUGGUUUUCACCAGCCAUGCCACAGAUCAGAGGCACCCACUCCUCGUGCAGCUGCAGAGCCUGAUCCGAGCAGCAAAUCCUGGAGUUUCCUUUGUCCUGGCAGAAAAUGGAAUUGUAACGAGGAAUGAGGAUAUUGAAUUAAUUCUCUCAGAAAGCAGUUUUUCAAACCCUCGRAUGAUGAGAGCUCGAUAUUUAAUGUACCCUGGCUGGUAUGAGGGCAAAUACGGGGCUGGGCCUGUGUUCCCUCCCAUGGUUCAGAUCUGUGUGUGGUUCAGUCGCCCUCUGGAGAAAACACGAUUCGUGGCCAAGUGCAAAGCAAUUAAGUCGUUGCUCAAGCCAAGUCCUUUUUCUGGAAACAUUUAUCACAUCAUGGGCAAAGUGAAGUUUUCAGAUGCUGAUAAAAUCAUUGAAGUCUGUCACAACACAUCAGCAAACUCCCUAAGCCUGGUGCCUGUUCCAGAGGGGCCGACUCCUCCUGAUUGCAGGAGCGAUCCCAGGGACUGCAGCAGUCAACAGGAAUAYUUCCUUGUGUUCAUUGGCUGCUCCCUGAAGGAAGAGGAUAUCAAAGAUUGGCUCAGAGAAACCGCAAAACAGAAACCUCAGAGGAAAGCCCUGAAAACCMGAGGAAUGUUAACCCUUCAGGAAAUAAAAAACAUUCACGUGAAACGCCACUUGGAUCCACUUCCAGCUGGUUAUUUUUACAACGGGACUCAAUUUGUGAAUUUUUUUGGUGACAAAAUGGAUUAUCAUCCAUUAAUGGACCAGUUCAUGAAYGAUUAUUUGGAAGAAGCCAACAGGGAAAUUGAGAAGUACAACAGGGAGCUGGAGGAGCAGGAGUACCAUGAUCUCUUUGAGCAGAAGACUUAAACACGUGGGUCCAGGGCAUUUGUGUCCUGUUAUCAGGAACCAAAAAUGCCAUUUAUCCUCCUGGCUCGUGAGAAAAUCGAGUGAAAUGUCUGUUUUCAGCACUYCUUCCCAAAUUAUGGGAUCAAUCCCCUAAGGUUGGCGUUUAAUCYGGUAACUGCUUAGCUGUUCCUACUGUCAGGUUUGCUUCCACUUCACCUCAGUUCCAGACUGUACAAAGCAUCACCUGGAAUCUCUGGCUUGUGGUGGAAACGUGGGGAAAAGAAGACGAGGAAGAAGAAAGAGGAAGAAGGAGAAAAGAUGCAAAAUUAUUUAUUUCCUUAAAGGUUGGAAUGUAAUUGUGGAAUUGGGCCGUGGUGCAGAUUGUCAAACAAUCCCUGGGCUCCCCUGUUGCACGGGAGCAGGGGUGUGGGAUUGGGGGUGUUCCCAAAGUGAGAAAUGGGGGAACACUGACUUGGAACAGUCCCUAAUCCCAAAGUGAGAAAUGGGGGAACACUGACUUGGAACAGUCCCUAAUCCCAAAGCAAGAAAUGGGGGAACAUUGACUUGGAACAGUCCCUAAUCCCACAGCUGUUUGAGGGUUCCCAAAGUGAGAAUUUGGGGAACAUUGACUUGGAACAGUCCCUAAUCCCAUAACUGUUUGGGGGGCUCCCAAAGCGAGAAAUGGGGGAGCAUUGACUUGGAAUAGUCCCUAAUCCCACAGCUGUCAGGAUAUUCCCAAAGCAAGAAAUGGGGAAUAAUUAAAAAAAAAAAUAGAAGAAGCCCUAAUCCCACAGCUGCUGGGAUGUUCCCAAAGCGAGAAAUGGGGGAACAAUGGGAAAAACUUAGAAUUGAGUCCCAAAUCCCACAGCUGUUGGGGUGUUCCCAAAGCGAGAAAUGGGGGAACAGUGGAAAAACUCUGAAGAAUCCCUAAUCCCACAACUGUCAGGAUGUUCCUGAAGCAAGAAAUAAUGGAAUUAUGAAAAAAAUAGAAAAAUCCUAAAUCCCACAGUUGCUGGGGUGUUCCCAAAGCGAGAAAUGGGGGAACAAUGGGGWAAAUCUGAAAGAGUCCCUAAUCCCACUGAUUUUAGGUUGUCCCCAKAGUAAGAAAUGGGGGAGCACUUUCUCAGAGUCCCUAAUCCCAGAGCUGUUGGGAUGUUCCCARAGUGAGAAAUGGGGCCAACAAUGGGAAAAUCUUGGAUGAGCUCCUAAUCCCACAGCUGCUGGGAUGUUCCCAAAGYGAGAAAUGGGGGAACAAUGGGAWAARCUCAGAAUUGGCUCCUUAAUCCCACAGCUCUUGGUGUGUUCCCAA